Molecule: ribosomal RNA, 501 nt
Filed under: uncultured bacterium
Lineage: Bacteria
Description: partial 16S ribosomal RNA
Rfam family: Bacterial small subunit ribosomal RNA
Source: RNAcentral
AUUGAACGCUGGCGGCAGGCUUAACACAUGCAAGUCGAGCGGAGAUGAGGUGCUUGCACCUUAUCUUAGCGGCGGACGGGUGAGUAAUGCUUAGGAAUCUGCCUAUUAGUGGGGGACAACAUUCCGAAAGGAAUGCUAAUACCGCAUACGUCCUACGGGAGAAAGCAGGGGAUCUUCGGACCUUGCGCUAAUAGAUGAGCCUAAGUCGGAUUAGCUAGUUGGUGGGGUAAAGGCCUACCAAGGCGACGAUCUGUAGCGGGUCUGAGAGGAUGAUCCGCCACACUGGGACUGAGACACGGCCCAGACUCCGACGGGAGGCAGCAGUGGGGAAUAUUGGACAAUGGGGGGAACCCUGAUCCAGCCAUGCCGCGUGUGUGAAGAAGGCCUUAUGGUUGUAAAGCACUUUAAGCGAGGAGGAGGCUACUGAGACUAAUACUCUUGGAUAGUGGACGUUACUCGCAGAAUAAGCACCGGCUAACUCUGUGCCAGCAGCCGCAGUAA